Molecule: ribosomal RNA, 273 nt
Filed under: uncultured bacterium
Lineage: Bacteria
Description: partial 16S ribosomal RNA
Rfam family: Bacterial small subunit ribosomal RNA
Source: RNAcentral
UACGUAGGGGGCUAGCGUUGUCCGGAAUCAUUGGGCGUAAAGCGCGCGUAGGCGGCCUCACAAGUCCGCUGUAAAAGUCAAAGGCUCAACCUUUGAAUGCCAGUGGAAACUGUGAGGCUAGAGUCCGGAAGAGGCGAGUGGAAUUCCUGGUGUAGCGGUGGAAUGCGCAGAUAUCAGGAGGAACACCAACGGCGAAGGCAGCUCGCUGGGACGGUACUGACGCUGAGGCGCGAAAGCGUGGGGAGCAAACAGGAUUAGAAACCCCUGUAGUCC